GUGCCAGCCGCCGCGGUAAUUCCAGCUCCAAUAGCGUAUAUUAAAGUUGUUGUGGUUAAAAAGCUCGUAGUUGAACCUUGGGCCUGGCUGGCCGGUCCGCCUCACCGCGUGCACUGGUCCGGCCGGGCCUUUCCCUCUGUGGAACCCCAUACCCUUCACUGGGCGUGGCGGGGAAACAGGACAUUUACUUUGAAAAAAUUAGAGUGCUCCAGGCAGGCCUAUGCUCGAAUACAUUAGCAUGGAAUAAUAAAAUAGGACGCGCGGUUCUAUUUUGUUGGUUUAUAGGACCGCCGUAAUGAUUAAUAGGGACAGUCGGGGGCAUCAGUAUUCAACUGUCAGAGGUGAAAUUCUUGGAUCAGUUGAAGGCUAACUACUGCGAAAGCAUUUGCCAAGGAUGUUUUCAUUAAUCAGGAACGAAAGUUAGGGGAUCGAAGACGAUCAGAUACCGUCGUAGUCUUAACCAUAAACUAUGCCGACUAGGGAUCGGACGGUGUUAUUCAUGACCCGUUCGGCACCUUACGAGAAAUCAAAGUGCUUGGGCUCCAGGGGGAGUAUGGUCGCAAGGCUGAAACUUAAAGAAAUUGACGGAAGGGCACCACCAGGGGUGGAGCCUGCGGCUUAAUUUGACUCAACACGGGGAAACUCACCAGGUCCAGACACAAUAAGGAUUGACAGAUUGAGAGCUCUUUCUUGAUUUUGUGGUGGUGAGCAUGGCCGUUCUUAGUUGGUGGGGUGACUUGUCUGCUUAAUUGCGAUAACGAACGAGACCUUAACCUGCUAAAUAG
RNAcentral lists this ribosomal RNA (785 nucleotides) under uncultured fungus. Its description in RNAcentral is "SSU rRNA". It matches the Rfam family "Eukaryotic small subunit ribosomal RNA", at positions 564 to 1358 of the family's 1831-position model. The record is from RNAcentral. Lineage: Eukaryota; Fungi.